UCGAAAGCUUAAGGGGAAGUAAAGAGUAAGACAAACAUAGUGAGCUUAUUUUUCAGUAAUAGUAAGGAAACGGGAGCUAAACCCUAAUGCAGGGUAUAUAACUAUGGCAACCAGUACAAGAAAAGUCUCGUGUCUACACUGUGUCUACACCAGACGCAAACAGUGCGAUGCGACAAAAGCAAAUAGAACUCAUUCUAAUCAGUGAUGCUGUCUACACAGGAUGCGACGUGACAAAUUCCAGAUGGUAAACCGAUGCCCCGUUCUAUUCCUGACGUACUUCAAGAGUUUGUUCGAACCGCCAGCUCUAAGCGGGACUCGAACCCCGUUCUGCCUGCAUGGGAGUCGGGCACUCUAACAAGGAGGGUAAAGACCACAGUUUCUAGCGUCAGUUGCUAGAGCGCCUCUUGAGAUCAGCGGAGUGAGGUUUGCAGGCACAGCUCUUACCGGCCUACGUCCGAUAGACUCUCGCUUCUUCCCAUACUAUUACGAAGAACAAAUGUAUUUGCAAAGGUCACUUUGUCACAUCCGGUGUGGACAACUUCUAACUGUUGCAGGUGUAGACAUGGUGUAAGAACGAGAGCAGGAAGAAAGAAAGCUGAGCGCUAUCAUGUAAGUUAUAAGACACACCACGACUACACUCACAGACACAUUGAACAUUCAUUCAAUCAUAACAUUUAAUCUUAUCUUUGAAACACCUGAAGCGUAAGACCUGUUUCACACAGCACGCAUAGGCAGCACUUACUAUUACCAAAAGCUCGCUUUGUGCUUUGAGCUCAAUACUAUAAAUAAAAUUUUUUACACAGGGUUUUUAUAGUUAUAGUUAGAUUUACUGAAUAGAAAUGUCAUUUGUGUGCAUGUGGAAUCAAGUAUGACAUUUGUCUUUUUUCAAAAAAUCAUUUUUUGCUGCUAUAUUGCAAAAUAUUGUGUUGAUAAAUAGGUUUAUAUUGCAUUUUCAACAUAUUUUCUGUCCACUAAACACAGCAAAAAUAGGCUCAGCGUCGCACUGCUUACAUGUGCAGUGUGAAUCCUGUAACUACUGCUUACGCAUGUGUUGUGAAACAAGCCUAAAAUAACCUGUACAGCUCUUACUGAGCACUGAUUCUUAAUAAUACACUUUACUACCAUUAGUUUCUAUUAGACACACGCGUUAACACACAGGAUCGCACACUGGAGAUCUUUGCAAAACAUCUAAACUUUCAUUCAUUCAUCUAUCCAUCUUAUACAUUAUCUAGCUUGGUUAGCAGUCUUUCAGUUUUCACUGAAGCCCUGUUCUGCAAUGCAGCAAUGCACUGUGGGAUUGCAGCUGGUGUAGGAGCAUCAGAACUCACCAGUAGCACAGGAGGAAGCAAGCAAUGACCCAAGAGCCAGAUGGAGGGAAAGAGAUGGAAAAUGGAAAAACAAAUUAUAAAAAGAGGGAAUUUGAAACAUUGGAAGAAGUAGUGGAAAAAGAACAUAUGAAAGAGAACAUGAUCAGGAAGAAGAAAGUGUCAUCAAGCAGAAGAAACAGAUCAGAUGAGCACAGAAGAGAGUGAGUGAAUGAGAGAAAAGAGAGAGCAGAAUUAAGCAGCGAGGCAUUGGGAAGAAGGCUUUCUCAGUCCACGUAGAGCUGAGAUGAACAUAAACGCCACGCAUGAGAGAAACAGAUGGAAACACUGAUCUCAUCUCAACAUGUCAGUAUCACCACAACACAACUGAGAUGUAACGUGUCUAGACUCGAUAUACAGCGCACACACAUCACUACACUGACAUCAACACACAAAAAACACCUUUGCUUUGUUAAAAUGUCAUACAACCAGAGAAAAAAUGACAUAUAUAAAAAAUAGCUUAAUUUGAGUUCUCAGUUAUGUUUCAGUGAAUAAAUGUAGAUUGCAUAAAUAUAUUACAGACUUUGGCGAAUCUGAGCAUAUCUGAAAGACGUGAGAUUACAAAGUUCUUUUCUCAGAAUAAAGUCAGUGUAACGGAUUAUCAAAAAAAUGGGAAAAAAGUAGAGCAGGGACUUGGUUCUAGGCAUCAGUUUUUGAUUGGAUGUUGACUGAAUUGGAUGUUGUUGAUUGGAUGUGGGCGUGGCGAGAUUUCAGUGGCGGAGUUUAAGCAGACUAAAUGAUUGGAGAAGUCCUGCAUAUGUCACGAGAGAGAAGUCUUCACCAGUUAUGACAUUUUGAUUAACCAUUAAAAUGAAACAUACUGUGCAUGGACGCAUUAUUCACAAUAAGAUCUAUAACAUGUAUUUAAAAAAUAGGAUUCAUUUCAUGCUGAAUUUAAGUGCAUGAUCUAAUCUCAUUGCUUUCGUUGAGAAAAUACUGAGAUCUGAUUUGUGAUUUGUCUUUCCUAAGGGUAUGUGAACAUGCUGCAGUUUCCAUGCUAUGGACUAUGAAGAUUGUAAACGUGACUGUUUUGAACACCGGACAAACCAUGAAAAUGACAUGAAGAAAGAAGUCACGAGGGCUGCAGGAGACGUACCUGACAUCAGAUCUCCUCCUGCGCUUGCUGCGGCCGGAGGGGCUGGUUUGGCCUCACCAGCACCCGCAGAUUCUGAUCCAUCCACGCAGCAUGAGGGUAAAAAAGUCAGGGAAUCUCUCACAACUGCUGUCUGGUGUCCAUCAACCAUCAGAACAGCUUUAUUUCCCAAUAACAGAAUCCACAGCAACCAUCUGAGCAAGACAUGCAAAUCAAACCAUUGCAAAUCAUGCACACUUGGGUUGUUACCAACCCCCAAACAGGUCCAGAUUUGCCCCACUGUCUGGCCAGCUCAUGGGGGCAGAUAGAGCAGCGGCAGGAGGACGAAACACAUCUGGAGCACAUGAACGAGUUUUGUUGACAUCUAAAUGGUAACUUUAUGCAUCUAUCUAUGUAAAAGGGACACUAAAAUAUCACAACUGAACCCGUAAGAUUUAUCAGUUUUAGGUCAUAGACGAAGGCAGGUGAAUGAGAGAAAGCCCAAGGGAACAAGUGAAAAUAAAAAUGUCUCUAAGUGGGGAUAAUGUAACUAAUGGGUCUUGGAGACAGUUCAAGAAAACACAGACAGAGAGAUUGGGAAAGAAAAGGAGUAAAUGAAGGCCCAAGGGAGUGAGGGAGUGUGCCGGAUGGACAGUUCCAUCGACUGCCCUAGGAGGGAAGCAUAUUUGGCUCACCUUGAGCAGUCAAGGACAGAAUGGAGAAAAAAUAAUAUCAAGUGAGGCAGGGAAUGAGUGGAUGGAUGUACUGCAGCGUGUACCUGCUGAAAACAGGUCUAGACUGGGGUUAGGGUCUGAUUUGGGAACAGUUGAAUCUGGCAUGGGAUCAAAAAAACCUAAAAACAAGAUGACAUUUAUAAAGACAAACAUAAGCAAAUAAUAAUAAUACAAUACACAACACAAACCAAACCAAUCAAAAUGUAGGGAAAAAAAUAAGGUAAAGCAAAUCAAACUAAAUUUAUAUUUUUAAUUGUCGCUCUUAAAAGUCAAGGGGAAAAAAAAAAACAUAGUAGGAGAGGAAAAGAUUAUCACUCCAAAUUUUAAAAAGUGGGAAAUGCUAAAUUUCUGGCCUAAGGGGUUUACCAGCAAACAGGUCUAUCGUCGGUGCUGGGGAAGCAGUGGGGGCUACAUCGCUAGUGGAGGUGGAGACAGGUGCCUGGCCAGUAGUGGGCGCCACUGAGCUAAAGAGAGCAUUACUGUCAUCUACUGGCUGCAGGGAGAACAGGUCCAACUGAAGGGCGUUAUCAGCAGAACCUGCCGUUGGAGCGAAGGGAUCUAUAGUGGGUGAAGAGGGUGAACAUAAAACAUCUUCAAGGCUCCAAGACUGUUGUGAUUUAUUAUAUCGACAUUAUUUUGCAAAGCGCGAAUAAGAUAUUUUCUACGGAGCCCUGCAAAUGACAUGCAGGAAAUAAAUAGUAGGAUGAAUUGUGCGCACAAUAUGCUAAUUUGUUCCCUCGAUUUAUAAAUCAUGUGCACGAUUUACUAAUUCGUUCCCUUGAUAUAUUAAAUCAUGCACACAAUUUAUAACUCGAGGGAAUGAAAUAGUAAAUCUCCCACACAAUUUAGCAAAAUAGAAAACCAUGCAAUAUCAAACAGCGUAAUGGACUGUUUUUGUACUGUUAAAAUAACUAGAAGCGAAUGACACUGGAAGUCUUGCACAUUCAAGUUACAAAUAGCCGCACCUGCUCUUACAUUAAAAAUAAGGUGGAUAAAGUCACCCUGAGGAUGAAACUUCAGAGAGGGAAAAAAUGAGGAAGAAAAAACGAAGAAUUUUCUUUUCUCUGCGGAAGUUAGAGCUGAUUAUCUGUCAGAUACGCUGUCUGUCUAACAAGUCGACAUCUGCUUGUGCCCCCCAGAGAACCGAACUCCAAUGUUCAAAGACUAUUUCCCUAGCAACACAGAUAGCAAUCUCCACGGCAACACUGAUGCCAAUUCAGAACACUCAAGACUGACCAGAGGAGGCAGAGCCUGCAGAGGAGGCUCUAUGUGCUUCUUAAAACCGGUAAAUGAAAACAAUCACAAGCAAACACACUCGCUCUCUCACCCAUUAUGUACCGACAUUCUCACAUAUAUGUGCUUGAACUGUUGUCACCCACCAUUUGCUGCGGUGCCAUCGGCAGCAGGGGUGGGCGUGGCUGCUGAGGCCCCACCCUCCGCAGCAGCAGCUGUUUCAGCCGCAGGGGCCGCAAACAUGUCUGGAGUACCGCACACGAGGGCCAAAGGUUGACGGAUAAUAGCCAAAGAAAAGGGUGAAAGGAGGCAGAGGAAAUAGAAAGAGUAGAGAGCAUAGAAAGAAAGAAACGAUAGACAUCAGUGUCAUGCAAAUUUCAGGAAAAAAAGACCUUUUGCACAGAAAUAUUUUAAAUUAUGUCCUGCAUACUUAAAAUAACAUGCACUCUUAAAAAUAAAGACAGAACCUCUAACUUCCAUGGAACCUUCUGACCGCACAAAAGGUUCAAAAGGAAUGUUAUAGUGGAAAAAGGUUUUUUUUUUGACUGAAAGUUUCUUUGAGAAACUAAAAAUGGUUCUUCUAUGGCAUCACUCCAUAAACACUCUUUUGGAACCUUUAUUUUUAAGAGUGUACUAUAUAAUAAUUCUGACCAAUUUUGUUAAUAUGAAAUAUUCGUAACCCAUUUUACUUUAGUAACAUAGCAUAUUUCCAGGAUAUUCAACCAUACGAAAGUAGGAUUAAACUUGAUCUUAUCAAUGUAAAAUGCAUUACAUUUUUUUUUCUUUUUAACUCUUUCCCCGCCAUUGACAGAAUUUUCCAUCAUUUAUGAGACAACGCUUCCCUUCCGUUUUGAAAGGAUUUUCCAGCUUUCCAUGUUUUCACUGUUAUACAGUAGGGGGCGCUAUUACACAUCUUCUGAAAGAGUAGAGAAUCUCCAGAUCAAAACACAGACAAAAAAGGAGCAGAAACAAGUGAUAAAAGCAUUGCUUAUGCACGUUGUAGUUUUUGAAAAAAACAUGAUUUUCUCAGCUUUUUGUUCAAUAUGUAGCUUUUUUAUGAAAUGUAUCUACAUUCAAGUGUUGAAAAAGAAUGUAUGAAGCUAACAAAUUUUAAAGCAGAGGCUAUGUUCUAUAUAUAUAUAUAUAUAUAUAUAUAUGUUGCAUGUUCAGAUUUCAUACAAACAAAUAUUUUGGGAACCAUGAAAGUUAUCAAAAAUGCUGGUGGUGGCUGGCAACUUUUUAAAAAAAACGCUGGCGGGGAAAGAGUUAACAGAACUUGCUCAUGUAUUAUUGGAACAUGUAUUAGAAAGUAAAAUGGGUCGGUUUUGAUUUCAUGCUAACUUUAAACCUUUUUGCAUUCGCUGAAUGUAAAACUAAAUGAAAGCCUGAUUAAUCUUACUGUGCAGUCUGAAAAUGCAGCUACACAUAAGAAUAAUCAAAUGAUUAUAAUUCAUAUAUGUAAUUUUAACACAAGAUCUUGUGGAGCAUUGAUAGCAAAUAAAUGUCAAAUAAAAACUGCAGCAUGGAAGAUAUAAAGGAAAUGAGAAUAUCUAGAUUUCUACAGCAGACAGAAAUGGAUCAUUGAUGACUACAGACAUCACAAAUGCCACAAAUGAAACAGCACAAACUGUGAUUUUGAUCUGAUCUUUAAUUUCUGUGCUGGGAUGUUCCUCUAUUUCAGAAUGUGGCACAGCCUCUUCUCCCAGAAAAAUCUUCUUAAGGAAGAAACCUCACUACUGACCUCCGAGGAGAUCCGCUGAACCGGAGGAAGCACCGGCAGCGGAAGGAGGAGGAGCCAAAGAAACGGCUGCCUCAGCGGCUGUGGUGGUGGGCGUGGCUGAGGAGUUGGAGUCUACGGCAAGGGUUGGGUCAGACUGUACCUCCCCAAGACGUGGGAGCAGCUGAUGCUCCUCCUGCAGAAGGUCCAGAGGAAGACAACGGGUCCAGAUCCAGAAGAGAACUACAGAAGCAUGGUUACACUCACUCAGUGGCAGUUUCGGCAGCAGGCGCGGCCUCGGUGCGCGGCGGCUCCAAAGUGGGGACGGCAGCAGCAGAUUUGGCGGGAGUGGAGGUUGGAGACACGUUAUUGGACACGGAGCUCGAGGGCGACACGAAGAUGCUUUGUAGCCUCUCCGUCCUGUCUAAAUGCAGUUGAUUUUCCUUCUGUCUUCUGUGCUUCUGUCUCUCCCUCUCAGUUCCAGACCACACCACCCACAUAAAGACACUUCAGGAAUUGCAACUAGUAGCAAGCAACCUCACUGAGUAGAAGCCAUGCAUAUACACUACGCGUUGGCCUGCGGUGUGGUGCUGAAGUGGACAGCGCCAGGUCUGAGUGAGACUGAACGCGUCGAGGAAUGAGGGUGAGUCAAAAAUGUCUCACUUACAAUCCAGGUGCUUCUUCUUGGGCGCCAUCACCUCGUGCGUGGUGGCUUUGCAUACGGCGCGAGCCACAUCGGAUCCGGUGAGCUGGUACUGCGCCGCGGCGAUGCGAUCCGUCAGAGUCUGUCCCGACAUUUUCUCCCGGUAGCGUCGACAACCACCUCAAGAAUCAACUUCAGGGGGAAGGACAGUCGAAAUGCAUAUGAUAUUCGCCGACAAAAAAAAGAGACGGAAUCCAAGGUGGCUUUUUAGAAACCGACAAUGUCAAUUUCUCCUUUUGGUUUCCAACCAGAGCGCAUGAAAUGGUGUUCAAAAGCACAAAAAUAUAUUUAAUUCUACAAAACGUGGAGUCUAUGAACGGGUUGGUUUCAGCACCAUGGAUAAUGCCACUAUUACGUAACGCCCUACGCCGAGCUAUUUUCUGGCUCUCGUAGGAAAUAAUUAAUCAAAUUAAUACAGCAAACUGUCACCUUUGAUUAGUAUAUGCAUUAAAAAAACCCAUCUAACCGAAAUAACAGAGCGUUUUGCGUUAAACUGGUCCUUUUUUCAAUUGAAUUAAAGAAAUAAACGCAUGAAAACCAGUUGUAAAUACGUUCCGUUGGUUAAUCCUUUACUAUAAACCUGUUCGGGAUUCCGGAGCCUCGGUAAUAUUCGGUCAAAGCCCGUGUGUCCUUCCCGUCGGGUCGGAUGAUGAUGGUGCUGAUGACGUGUCUUUUUCAAGCCUUUUCAAGGGCGAGGGUAUGAAGACACGUUAUUGUUCACGUUUCAGUGAUAUAUCGUGUAGAUCUUGAAUAUUCAGUUG
Megalobrama amblycephala (Wuchang bream) is the source of this 7584-nucleotide long non-coding RNA. RefSeq lists it as uncharacterized. NCBI's taxonomy places the organism in Eukaryota, Metazoa, Chordata, Actinopteri, Cypriniformes, Xenocyprididae. The transcript has 6 exons. The record is from RefSeq and is a predicted model, not a curated record.